Lycium ferocissimum is the source of this 2773-nucleotide RNA transcript. It is a transcript of the gene named pentatricopeptide repeat-containing protein At5g39680, with no coding region annotated. The transcript has 4 exons. The record is from RefSeq and is a predicted model, not a curated record. Lineage: Eukaryota; Viridiplantae; Streptophyta; Magnoliopsida; Solanales; Solanaceae.
GCCCUUCCCAACUGAGGCAAGUCCAUCACUCGUUUAUGUUCCUGCUAAACAAUGUUGAAGACAUCUGAAACAGAGAUAAAUUUUCUACAAGAUCUAGCAUUCUUUUUGUCCCGUGAACAUACCCUUUAAGUGCCUGGAGCUGUAUUACUCUACAAACAAAACUAUAGUGAGACCUGACUAUGUUUUUGACGAGCAAUGUCCAGCGCGCUCUUCUGCAUGUUAGUGCGUCUUCUCUAUCCCAACUGAACUCCCAGAGUCUCUUUUCCAUAGAGUACGCUGUAAAGUUGUUGAAAAAGUUAGCUGAUGAUGGCAACUUGAAAUUGGGAAAAGUUGUUCAUGCGCUUCUUAUUGUGUCUAAUCAUGCCUCAGAAGACCACGUAAUUCAAAAUAAUUGUCUCAUUAAUCUCUACUCAAGGUGUGGACAACUUGCUGUUGCUCGUCAGGUAUUCAACAGAUUGCAGCAACGAAAUGUAGUUUCUUGGAGCAUUUUAAUGGCAGGGUAUUUGCACAAUGGGUUAACUUGGGAAGUACCCAAAUUGUUCAAAGACAUGAUUUCACUGGAUAAUUUAUUCCCAAAUGAGUAUGUCUUGUCUACCGUACUUUCUUCUUGUUCCAGCGGUGGUUUGCUACACGAAGGGCGGCAGUGUCAUGCAUUAGUGUUGAAAUCAGGACUGGUGUUUCAUCAAUAUGUGAAGAAUGCUCUUCUAUCCUUGUAUACAGUGUCUUCAGAUAUGGAAGGGGUUCUGGAAAUCUUGAAGUUUAUUCCUGGAUUAGACAACAUUACUUAUAAUUCUGUUCUGAAGGGGCUCUUGGAUCAUGGGUAUACAAAUGAAGCAUUGGAUGUCUUCUCAAGGAUGUUGGCUGAGGGCUCAGUGGGAGACAGCAUUAGUUAUGUGAAUGUAUUUGGUCUUUGUGCUCGUCUCAAGGAUUUGAAAUUGGGUCAGCAAGUUCACUGCAGAAUGCUGAAGUCUGGUCUUCAGCUUGAUGUGUUCUUAAGUAGUGCAAUCAUGGACAUGUAUGGAAAGUGUGGUGAAAUUUUAAGUGCAAGAUAUAUUUUUUAUUCUUAUCCUGACCAUAAUGUGGUGUCUUGGACGACAAUUUUGGCUGCAAAUUUCCAAAAUGAGUGUUUUGAGGAAGCCCUGAAACUGUUCUUACAAAUGGAACUUCAGGAUGUUGAGCCAAAUGGAUACACUUUUGCAGUGUUGUUGAAUUCCUGUGCGGGUCUCUCAGCACUUGGGUGCGGGAAAACAUUACAUGCACGUGUUGAGAAGACAGGACAUAGAGCUUUUGUUGUAGUUGGGAAUGCUUUGAUCAAUAUGUAUUUUAGGAGUGGCCAAAUUGAAGCCGCCAGGGCUUUAUUUUCAAACAUGAUAUGUCGAGAUACUGUUACUUGGAAUUUGAUAAUAACAGGUUUCUCUCAUCAUGGGCUUGGUGAGGAUGCAUUGUAUGUGUUUCAGGACAUGUUAGCUGCCAAAAAGCAACCAAACUAUGUCACCUUUAUCGGGGUUCUUUUGGCUUGUGGACAUUUGGGUAGGAUAGAAGAAGGAUUUUACUACUUGCAGCAUCUAAUGAGGGAGAUUGGCCUUGAACCUGGGUUAGAGCACUAUACCUGUGUUGUAGGGCUCUUAGGUAAAGCUGGAAAACUUUAUGAGGCUGAGAGUUUCAUGAGGUCAACGCCAAUCACAUGGGAUGUUAUUGCGUGGCGUACUUUGCUUAAUGCUUGCAACGUCCACCGCAAUUAUGAUUUAGGAAAGAGAGUGGCAGACCAUUUGUUGCAAUUGAACCCCAACGAUGUGGGAACCUAUAUCUUGUUGUCCAAUAUGCAUGCCAAGGUGAAAAGGUGGGAUGGUGUAGCAAAGAUACGGAAGUUAUUAAGAGAAAGGAACAUAAAAAAAGAACCUGGAUUGAGCUGGACUGAAAUAAGAAAUGAAACUCAUGUGUUCGUUUCGGAUGACACUCAACACCCAGAGACCGCUCAAAUCCAUGAGAAGGUGAGAAAAUUGUUGGCUGAAAUAAAACCAUUGGGUUAUGUUCCAGACACGGCUUCUGUCCUGCAUGACGUUGAGCAAGAACAACAAGAGGGUUAUCUUAGUUACCACAGCGAAAAGCUGGCUGUAGCAUAUGCUCUCAUGAAAACACCUUCCCAAGCGCCAAUUCAUAUUAUUAAGAAUCUCAGAAUAUGUGAUGAUUGCCAUUCUGCUUUGAAGCUUAUCUCGAAGGUCACCAUGAGAGUGAUAGUUGUAAGAGAUGUCAAUCGGUUCCAUAGUUUUCAAUAUGGGUCCUGUUCGUGUGCAGAUUACUGGUGAAACAUCACAAGAUUGGCAUAUAGUUUCUUACGAGGGGUCAAAGGAGAAUUUUUCCUGCUGUUACCUAAAAUCGGAAAUGUGUUGGUCUGUGAUCCUCAUUGUAGUACUCCUGAGGUGUACCUAACUCCACUCCGUACUUCAUGCUAACAGUGUGUUUCACUCCCAAGAAGUUGUAAUUCCAUGGGCAAUUAUCAGGUGUCAUGUAAAAGCCAAGGAAUCGGUCACUCAAGAGCAUCUGGACCUUCUCGUAAUGAGUCGGCAGUUAACGAACAAGACCCCGGUGUGAAACUGCAUGUCAUUAAAAUGCACUUGUCUCCAUCCCAGUGUUUGUUAUUCUCCAGGAUCCGAGCAUGUGAAGUAACAUCCUGUGGCGAUAACUGAGAAAGCUCAUUUGGUUGUGUAUGCAUCCAUCCCAAAGGCUCCAAGUCAGUGAGAAAAUCAUGGAAGACCUGAAGGUAGAUGCACCU